RNAcentral lists this ribosomal RNA (792 nucleotides) under uncultured bacterium. Its description in RNAcentral is "bacterial SSU rRNA". It matches the Rfam family "Bacterial small subunit ribosomal RNA", at positions 8 to 796 of the family's 1533-position model. The record is from RNAcentral.
AGAGUUUGAUCAUGGCUCAGAGCGAACGCUGGCGGCGUGCUUAACACAUGCAAGUCGAACGCGCAGCAUUCUGUAGCAAUACAGGGUGUGGGCGCGUGGCGAACGGGUGCGUAACACGUGGAUAACCUUCCUUGAGGUGGGGAAUAACCCAGUGAAAAUUGGGCUAAUACCGCAUAACAUCGCGAUGGCACAUGCUGAUGCGAUCAAAGGCGCAAGUCGCCACAAGAGGGAUCCGCGGCCGAUUAGCUUGUUGGCGAGGUAAUGGCUCACCAAGGCAAUGAUCGGUAGCCGGACUGAGAGGUUGGCCGGCCACACUGGAACUGAGACACGGUCCAGACUCCUACGGGAGGCAGCGGUGGGGAAUCUUGCACAAUGGACGAAAGUCUGAUGCAGCAACGCCGCGUGGGGGAUGAAGCUUCUCGGAGUGUAAACCCCUUUCGACCCGGAAGAAUGCCCGCAAGGGUAUGACGGUACGGGUAUAAGAAGCCCCGGCUAACUACGUGCCAGCAGCCGCGGUAAUACGUAGGGGGCCAGCGUUGCUCGGAAUUACUGGGCGUAAAGGGUCCGUAGGCGGUGUAGCAAGUCGAUAGUGAAAUCUCUGGGCUUAACCCAGAGGCUGCUAACGAAACUGCUGUGCUAGAGUGUGAGAGAGGCGAGUGGAAUUACGGGUGUAGCGGUGAAAUGCGUAGAUAUCCGUAGGAACAUCCGAGGCGAAGGCGGCUCGCUGGAUCACAACUGACGCUGAGGGACGAAAGCUAGGGGAGCAAACAGGAUUAGAUACCCUAGUAGUCC